UACACCUUGUAUCUGCAGCAUUGUAUGUAAUAUUACCCAGCAAUGUAUUGUCACUGGGCAGCAGGAUUGGCUCCCCCAUAGGGGCAGCAGCAGGGGCCCCAUGUUGGUGUGAGGCAGUCACCGCCGGGGGAACCACAGACUUAGUUUUUGGUAGCACUAGUUCCAGAGGUCCUCUUCUUAUGGGGCUCCGUAACUGCCCAUAGAGUAAAGAAGAUCUUCCUCUGCUGAUGGUGAAAUCUCCUCCCCACAUAUUGAGCAGCAGUGCAGUGGGCGGGACAGACAGUCUGGGGAGGGGCCACACAAUAUCCUCAUAGUCUGUCACCCCCUCACACCCCCCGUUUAUUACAUCGCUCCAUCUGGAGAUUAUGAAAUGCC
This is a long non-coding RNA of Xenopus tropicalis (tropical clawed frog), 375 nucleotides long. RefSeq lists it as uncharacterized. The transcript is spliced from 2 exons. NCBI's taxonomy places the organism in Eukaryota, Metazoa, Chordata, Amphibia, Anura, Pipidae. The record is from RefSeq and is a predicted model, not a curated record.